AACGUAGGAGGCAAGCGUUAUCCGGAUUUACUGGGCGUAAAGCGCGUGUAGGCGGUUCGGCAAGUUGGAUGUGAAAGCUCCUGGCCUAACUAGGAGAGGUCGUUCAAUACUACCGAACUUGAGGGCAUCAGAGGAAGGUGGAAUUCCCGGUGUAGUGGUGAAAUGCGUAGAUAUCGGGAGGAACACCAGUGGCGAAAGCGGCCUUCUGGGAUGCAUCUGACGCUCAGACGCGAAAGCUAGGGUAGCAAACGGG
Molecule: ribosomal RNA, 253 nt
Filed under: uncultured bacterium
Lineage: Bacteria
Description: partial 16S ribosomal RNA
Rfam family: Bacterial small subunit ribosomal RNA
Source: RNAcentral